RNAcentral lists this transfer RNA (72 nucleotides) under Setora sinensis. RNAcentral describes it as "tRNA-Tyr". The record is from RNAcentral. Lineage: Eukaryota; Metazoa; Arthropoda; Insecta; Lepidoptera; Limacodidae.
AAUAAAAUGGCUGAGGAAUUAAAUAAGCGAUAAAUUGUAAAUUUAUUAACGAGAUAAAUAUCUCUUUUAUUA